Molecule: ribosomal RNA, 250 nt
Filed under: uncultured prokaryote
Description: partial 16S ribosomal RNA
Rfam family: Bacterial small subunit ribosomal RNA
Source: RNAcentral
UACGGGGGGUGCAAGCGUUGUCCGGAAUCAUUGGGCGUAAAGAGCUCGUAGGCGGUUUAUAAAGUCUGGUGUUAAAGGCGCAGGCUUAACUUGUGUAAGGCACUGGAUACUUAUAGACUAGAAUGCGGUAGAGGUAAAGGGAAUUUCUGGUGUAGCGGUGAAAUGCUUAGAUAUCAGGAAGAACAUCGGUGGCGUAAGCGCUUUACUGGGCCGUAAUUGACGCUGAGGAGCGAAAGCCGGGGUAGCAAAU